CAUUAGAGUUUGAUCCUGGCUCAGGACGAACAGGCGGCGUGCUUAACACAUGCAAGUCGAACGGAGCUAUUUAUUUCGGAAAAUCGCUUAGUGGCAAACGGGUGAGUAACGCGUAGGCAACCUGCCCUCAGGAUGGGGACAACGGCUCGAAAGAGCUUCCUAAUACCGAAUGACGUAACUCUUCCACAUGGAAGAGAUACUAAAGGUGGGUCAAACCAUCGCCUAAGGAUGGGCCUGCGUCUGAUUAGCCAGUUGGUGAGGUAACGGCUCACCAAAGCGACGAUCAGUAGCCGGUCUGAGAGGAUGAACGGCCACAAUGGGACUGAGACACGGCCCAUACUCCUACGGGAGGCAGCAGUGGGGAAUCUUCCGCAAUGGGCGAAAGCCUGACGGAGCAACGCCGCGUGAGUGAAGAAGGUCUUCGGAUCGUAAAGCUCUGUUGUCGGGGACGAAAGGGCAGACGAGGUAAUGCGUUUACUAAGACGGUACCCGACGAGGAAGCCACGGUUAACUACGUGCCAGCAGCCGCGGUAAUACGCAUCGGCAAGCUUUGCCCGGAAUUAUUGGGCGUACAGGGAGCGCCGGUG
Molecule: ribosomal RNA, 587 nt
Filed under: uncultured bacterium
Lineage: Bacteria
Description: bacterial SSU rRNA
Rfam family: Bacterial small subunit ribosomal RNA
Source: RNAcentral